GAAUCAAGGGCGUGGCGGCGUGCCUCAGACAUGCAAGUCGAACGCGAAAGCCCCCUUCGGGGGGCAAGUAGAGUGGCGCACGGGUGAGUAACACGUAGGUAAUCUACCUUUGGAUGGGGAAUAACAACCGGAAACGGUUGCUAAUACCGCAUAAUGCAGCGGCACCUAAUGGUGACAGUUGUUAAAGCGGGGGAUCGCAAGACCUCGCGUCUGAAGAGGAGCCUGCGGCGGAUUAGCUAGUUGGUAAGGUAACGGCUUACCAAGGCUAUGAUCCGUAGCCGGCCUGAGAGGGCGGUCGGCCACACUGACACUGACAUACGGGUCAGACUCCUACGGGAGGCAGCAGUCGGGAAUUUUGGGCAAUGGGCGAAAGCCUGACCCAGCAACGCCGCGUGAAGGAUGAAAUCCUUCGGGAUGUAAACUUCGCAAGAACAGGAAGAAUAAGUGAGAGUUAAUAUCUCUUACGAUGACGGUACUGUUUGUAAGCUCCGGCUAACUCCGUGCCAGCAGCCGCGGUAAUACGGGGGGAGCAAGCGUUGUUCGGAUUUACUGGGCGUAAAGGGCGCGUAGGCGGCCUGGCAAGUCGAGUGUGAAAUCCCUUGGCUUAACUGAGGAAUGGCGCUCGAAACUACCUCGCUGGAGGGCGGGAGAGGGAAGUGGAACUCUCGGUGUAGCGGUGAAAUGCGUAGAUAUCGGAAGGAACAUCGGUGGCGAAGGCGACUUUCUGGACAGAUACUGACACUGAGGCACGAAAGCAUGGGGAGCAAACAGGAUUAGAUACCCUGGUAGUCCAUGCUGUAAACGAUGAAGGCUGGCUGUUGGGUACCUACGGGUACUUAGUAGCGAAGCUAACGCGUUAAGUCUUCCGCCUGGGGAGUACGGCCGCAAGGUUAAAACUCAAAGGAAUUGACGGGGGCCCGCACAAGCGGUGGAGCAUGUGGUUUAAUUCGACGCAACGCGAAGAACCUUACCUACCCUUGACAUCCUCGGAACCUGCUAGAGAUAGUGGGGUGCCUUCGGGAGCCGAGAGACAGGUGCUGCAUGGCUGUCGUCAGCUCGUGUCGUGAGAUGUUGGGUUAAGUCCCGUAACGAGCGCAACCCUUGUCCUUAGUUGCCAACAGGUAAAGCUGGGAACUCUAGGGAGACUGCCGGUGAUAAGCCGGAGGAAGGUGGGGAUGACGUCAAGUCCUCAUGGCCCUUACGGGUAGGGCCACACACGUGCUACAAUGGACGGUACAAAGGGAAGCGAAGCAGCGAUGUGAAGCGGAUCUUAGAAAGCCGUUCGUAGUCCGGAUUGGAGUCUGCAACUCGACUCCAUGAAGUUGGAAUCGCUAGUAAUCGUGGAUCAGAACGCCACGGUGAUACAAUCCCGGGAGUCACACACC
Molecule: ribosomal RNA, 1385 nt
Filed under: uncultured bacterium
Lineage: Bacteria
Description: partial 16S ribosomal RNA
Rfam family: Bacterial small subunit ribosomal RNA
Source: RNAcentral